Molecule: transfer RNA, 85 nt
Filed under: Fidelibacterota bacterium
Lineage: Bacteria; Pseudomonadati; Fidelibacterota
Description: tRNA-Leu
Rfam family: tRNA
About the family: Transfer RNA (tRNA) molecules are approximately 80 nucleotides in length.
Source: RNAcentral
GCCGCGAUGGUGGAAUUGGUAGACACGCUGGUCUUAGGAACCAGUGCCUUAUGGCGUGGGGGUUCGACUCCCUCUCGCGGCACAA